GCAGUAGCCACGGUAAUACAGAGGCCUCAAGCGUUGUUCGGAUUCAUUGGGCGUAAAGGGAGCGUAGGCGGUCGGGUAAGUUGGAUGUGAAAUCCUGGGGCUCAACCUCAGAACUGCAUUCAAUACUGCUUGGCUAGAGUAUUGGAGAGGUGAGUGGAAUUCACGGUGUAGCAGUGAAAUGCGUAGAUAUCGUGAGGAAGACCAGCGGCGAAGGCGGCUCACUGGACAAUUACUGACGCUGAUGCUCGAAGGCCAGGGGAGCAAACGGGAUUAGAUACCCCAGUAGUCCCUGUCUCUUAUAC
RNAcentral lists this ribosomal RNA (302 nucleotides) under uncultured bacterium. RNAcentral's name for it is "partial 16S ribosomal RNA". It matches the Rfam family "Bacterial small subunit ribosomal RNA", at positions 508 to 807 of the family's 1533-position model. The record is from RNAcentral.